AAAUUGAAGAGUUUGAUCAUGGCUCAGAUUGAACGCUGGCGGCAGGCCUAACACAUGCAAGUCGAGCGGUAGCACAGAGAGCUUGCUCUCGGGUGACGAGCGGCGGACGGGUGAGUAAUGUCUGGGAAACUGCCUGAUGGAGGGGGAUAACUACUGGAAACGGUAGCUAAUACCGCAUAACGUCGCAAGACCAAAGUGGGGGACCUUCGGGCCUCAUGCCAUCAGAUGUGCCCAGAUGGGAUUAGCUAGUAGGUGG
This 256-nucleotide ribosomal RNA is filed under the name Klebsiella pneumoniae. Its description in RNAcentral is "partial 16S ribosomal RNA". It matches the Rfam family "Bacterial small subunit ribosomal RNA", at positions 1 to 255 of the family's 1533-position model. The record is from RNAcentral. Lineage: Bacteria; Pseudomonadati; Pseudomonadota; Gammaproteobacteria; Enterobacterales; Enterobacteriaceae.